RNAcentral lists this ribosomal RNA (404 nucleotides) under uncultured bacterium. RNAcentral describes it as "bacterial SSU rRNA". It matches the Rfam family "Bacterial small subunit ribosomal RNA", at positions 11 to 419 of the family's 1533-position model. The record is from RNAcentral.
GUUUGAUCAUGGCUCAGAUUGAACGCUGGCGGUAUGCUUAACACAUGCAAGUCGAACGGUAGCAGGCCUUCGGGCGCUGACGAGUGGCGGACGGGUGAGUAACGCGUAGGAAUCUGCCUCAUAGUGGGGGACAACGUGGGGAAACUCACGCUAAUACCGCAUACGCCCUACGGGGAAAGCGGGGGAGUCUUCGGACCUCGCGCUAUGAGAUGAGCCUGCGUUAGAUUAGCUAGUUGGUAGGGUAAAGGCCUACCAAGGCGACGAUCUAUAGCUGGUCUGAGAGGACGAUCAGCCACACUGGGACUGAGACACGGCCCAGACUCCUACGGGAGGCAGCAGUGGGGAAUAUUGGACAAUGGGCGCAAGCCUGAUCCAGCAAUACCGCGUGUGUGAAGAAGGCCUUA